Molecule: ribosomal RNA, 243 nt
Filed under: Staphylococcus epidermidis
Lineage: Bacteria; Bacillati; Bacillota; Bacilli; Caryophanales; Staphylococcaceae
Description: partial 23S ribosomal RNA
Rfam family: Bacterial large subunit ribosomal RNA
Source: RNAcentral
CCGCACGAAAGGCGUAACGAUUUGGGCACUGUCUCAACGAGAGACUCGGUGAAAUCAUAGUACCUGUGAAGAUGCAGGUUACCCGCGACAGGACGGAAAGACCCCGUGGAGCUUUACUGUAACCUGAUAUUGAAAUUCGGCACAGCUUGUACAGGAUAGGUAGGAGCCUUUGAAACGUGAGCGCUAGCUUACGUGGAGGCGUUGGUGGGAUACUACCCUAGCUGUGUUGGCUUUCUAACCCGC